RNAcentral lists this ribosomal RNA (496 nucleotides) under uncultured bacterium. RNAcentral describes it as "partial 16S ribosomal RNA". It matches the Rfam family "Bacterial small subunit ribosomal RNA", at positions 28 to 506 of the family's 1533-position model. The record is from RNAcentral.
GAUGAACGCUGGCGGCGUGCCUAAUACAUGCGAGUCGAGCGAACAGAUGAGGAGCUUGCUCCUCUGACGUUAGCGGCGGACGGGUGAGUAACACGUGGAUAACCUACCUAUAAGACUGGGAUAACUACGGGAAACCGGAGCUAAUACCGGAUAAUAUAUUGAACCGCAUGGUUCAAUAGUGAAAGACGGUUUUGCUGUCACUUAUAGAUGGAUCCGCGCCGCAUUAGCUAGUUGGUAAGGUAACGGCUUACCAAGGCAACGAUGCGUAGCCGACCUGAGAGGGUGAUCGGCCACACUGGAACUGAGACACGGUCCAGACUCCUACGGGAGGCAGCAGUAGGGAAUCUUCCGCAAUGGGCGAAAGCCUGACGGAGCAACGCCGCGUGAGUGAUGAAGGUCUUCGGAUCGUAAAACUCUGUUAUUAGGGAAGAACAAAUGUGUAAGUAACUAUGCACGUCUUGACGGUACCUAAUCAGAAAGCCACGGCUAACUACGU